This 637-nucleotide ribosomal RNA is filed under the name uncultured bacterium. RNAcentral's name for it is "bacterial SSU rRNA". It matches the Rfam family "Bacterial small subunit ribosomal RNA", at positions 232 to 882 of the family's 1533-position model. The record is from RNAcentral.
CGCGGCCUAUCAGCUUGUUGGUGAGGUAACGGCUCACCAAGGCUUCGACGGGUAGCUGGUCUGAGAGGACGAUCAGCCACACUGGGACUGAGACACGGCCCAGACUCCUACGGGAGGCAGCAGUGGGGAAUCUUGCACAAUGGGCGAAAGCCUGAUGCAGCAACGCCGCGUGAGGGACGAAGGCUUUCUGAGUUGUAAACCUCUUUCAGCAGGGACGGUUGUGACGGUACCUGCAGAAGAAGCCCCGGCCAACUACGUGCCAGCAGCCGCGGUAAUACGUAGGGGGCAAGCGUUGUCCGGAUUUAUUGGGCGUAAAGAGCUCGUAGGCGGCUUGGCAAGUCGGAUGUGAAACCUCCAGGCUCAACCUGGAGUCGCCAUUCGAUACUGCCAUGGCUAGAGUUUGGUAGGGGACCACGGAAUUCCUGGUGUAGCGGUGAAAUGCGCAGAUAUCAGGAGGAACACCAGCGGCGAAGGCGGUGGUCUGGGCCAAUACUGACGCUGAGGAGCGAAAGCGUGGGGAGCGAACAGGAUUAGAUACCCUGGUAGUCCACGCCGUAAACGUUGGGCACUAGGUGUGGGGACCUAUCGACGGUUUCUGUGCCGCAGCUAACGCAUUAAGUGCCCCGCCUGGGGAGUA